UACGGGGGGGGCAAGCGUUGUUCGGAAUUACUGGGCGUAAAGGGCUCGUAGGCGGCCAACUAAGUCAGACGUGAAAUCCCCAGGCUCAACCUGGGAACUGCGUCUGAUACUGGAUGGCUUGAAUCCGGGAGAGGGAUGCAGAAUUCCAGGUGUAGCGGUGAAAUGCGUAGAUAUCUGGAGGAACAUCAGUGGCGAAAGCGACUUCCUGGACCAAUACUGACGCUCAUGUGCGAAAGCGUGGGGAGCAAACAGG
This 253-nucleotide ribosomal RNA is filed under the name uncultured bacterium. RNAcentral's name for it is "partial 16S ribosomal RNA". It matches the Rfam family "Bacterial small subunit ribosomal RNA", at positions 524 to 776 of the family's 1533-position model. The record is from RNAcentral.